UCGGGUGCGAACGUUUCUUCCACAACGCACUCCCUGUACUUCGGUCAUAACAAACAAUAUUAAAAAUAUUAUAAAGUAUAACCAAAGUGAUAACAUACAGAAUAACAUUUUUUCCGAAGGGCAAACUUGUCGUGCCUUAUUUGAAAGUUUUGAAUAUUGCAUGAGGCGCGAAAGCUCUGUGGAAAGCGUUUCGUAAACUUUGUGUUUUCUUAUGGAAGACGGCGGCGUGCAACAAAAGUGUGUCCAGUUGAAGUGAACAAUUGACGAAAUGUAAUGAGUUAAUGUUAUCGAUUGAAAUGGAUAGGCGAGUAGACGACAGUAGAUUCCGAGCAACGGCGCCACAAGAACCAGGGACUUCGCCAUCGUGGGAGCAGUUUGUGCGGGAGUCAUUAGUGCAGGCGGCGUGGCCGGUCGCUCUAGUGGCGCCACCUAGGAGAGCCCUCACCGUGGA
Molecule: long non-coding RNA, 451 nt
Organism: Manduca sexta (tobacco hornworm)
Lineage: Eukaryota; Metazoa; Arthropoda; Insecta; Lepidoptera; Sphingidae
Exons: 3
Source: RefSeq, a predicted model, not a curated record